This 545-nucleotide ribosomal RNA is filed under the name uncultured bacterium. Its description in RNAcentral is "bacterial SSU rRNA". It matches the Rfam family "Bacterial small subunit ribosomal RNA", at positions 378 to 917 of the family's 1533-position model. The record is from RNAcentral.
GCAGUCUGAUCAGCGAUGCCGCGUGCUAGAUGACGGCCUUCUGGUUGGCACCGCUUUUGUUACGGAAAAAACGGAUUGGACUGGUACCAAGUUGACGGAACCGUACCUGAUCAAUAAGCAUCGGCUAACUACAUGCGCCAGCCUCGGAAGUAUUGACGGUGCUAGCGUUAAUCUAUUGUACUGGGCGGAAGCGUGGGCGGUGAUUUUUGCAACACAGAAGUGAAAUCCCUUGGCUGUUCCUGGGAACUGUGUUUGUGACUGCCUUGCUUUAAUACAGGGCAGGGGGAUGUAAUUCCGCGUGUAUCAAUGGAUUGCAUAUAUAUGCGAAUGACCAUCGAUGGCGAAGGCUAUCCCCUGGACCUGUACUGACGCUCUUGCAGGUGCGCGUGGGGAGCAAACAGGAUUACAUACCCUGGUAGUCCACGCCCUAAACGAUUACUACUGGUUGUUGGACGGCUUGUCCAAUCAGAAACCGAAGCUAACGCGUGAAGUUGACCGCCUGGGGAGUACGUGCCGCUCAGUUGAAAUUCACGGGAAUUGACGGA